UACGGGGGGGGCAAGCGUUGUUCGGAAUUACUGGGCGUAAAGGGUUUGUAGGUGGCCCGCUAAGUCACACGUGAAAUCCCUCAGCUUAACUGGGGAACUGCGUGUGAGACUGGCAGGCUUGAGUGCAGGAGAGGAACGCGGAAUUCCAGGUGUAGCGGUGAAAUGCGUAGAUAUCAGGAGGAACACCGGUGGCGAAGGCGGGUCUCUGGGCCGAUACUGACGCUGAGGAGCGAAAGCGUGGGGAGCAAACAGG
This 253-nucleotide ribosomal RNA is filed under the name uncultured bacterium. RNAcentral's name for it is "partial 16S ribosomal RNA". It matches the Rfam family "Bacterial small subunit ribosomal RNA", at positions 524 to 776 of the family's 1533-position model. The record is from RNAcentral.